UUCCAGGAAUGUAGGUACUACCGUUCUAUUCCGUGAACAUCUAUCUGAUUAAAUUAUGGGUGGAAAGUUACCACAAGAUAUUCUAUGAACAUAGUACAAUGUCUUCCUGGAGGGGUAAAAUUUUCCAUUACAAGAUUUUAAGAGAGGCCAUUUACUAUUCAAUUUGCGUUCAUUUUCAAAUUUGCCGCGCGAGUAUCUAUGUAGCGUCGCGUGGUCAUUGGUCAUCAAGUCAUCAAUUAUUUCAUUUUCAUCAUAAGAUAACCUAAAAAUUUGGUAAAAAUUUUGAUUGGAAAAAAAUGCAUCGAUAAGGGGGUGAAAAAUGGAAAUUAGUGGCUUUUUUUUGCUGUACUCAACUGUACUGUUUAGUAUGCUAGUUUUGGCUAUGGCUGGAUCUCUUAAACAAUUAUAAUCAGCUGAAAGUGGUCUACAAAAAACCAGAUAUAACCAAAAUAAAGAUAUAAAAAGUGUAUUUGCUAAUUGGAAGAAACUCAACAUUGUCCGUGCAUAAUCAGUUAUUACUUUAUAAACAAAUAUUAAGACCUAGGAAUGGAACCUGGAUAUAAUCAUCAAGAAGAUAGCAGGAAUCCCGACAAACAACUUAAAUAAGUACAAGGAUAUUGAGGAAAUCCAGCUCCUCGAUACUACUGGGCAAACUAGAAGAUUGAAGAGGACAAAGCCUUUUGAACUAUUAGUUUGAGUGAUAGGUGAUAGUGAAAAGCAGAGCAUAGUGCGUGAUGUGGCUGUGUAUGUUAGAAUAGUGCACGAUCUUGUUAGAUUAGAUAAGAGACGCUAUCGGGUAAGCUCUUCAUUUUAAGAAACAGUAGUAAUUUAGGUUAAAUUAAAAUUGCUCAUUGGUCAGUUAUGACCAGAUUGCUUUUUUUAUGUUUGGCAAAAAGGGCGUAAGUCAGAAUUGCACAUUGCUAAUGUUUUGAUGAUUUCUGGACCAGCAAAAAACUGUUGUAGACGUAAACUGUAUGUACCAAUAAAAAGAGCCGAUUUUUCUGGUCCAGAAAUCAUCAAAACAUUAUCGAUGUGCAUUUCUGACUUAAGCCCUUUUUCCCAAACAUCAGAGAAUUGUAAUGUACAAAUUCUCCUAUCUGAUUUUUCAUGAAUUUUGUAGGAGACGAAAAACCAUUUUUAGGAUCAUCUCCUGCUUUCACAUGUAAAUUUUGACAUGUCUUGUAGUAAAUAGAUAGUUGAAUUUACUACAAAACAUGUCAAAAAAUAUAUGAAAACAGGAGGUGACCAUAAAAAAAGUUUUUAGUCUCUCUUAAAAAACUCAUGAAAAAACAAAUCGGAGGUAUGUCACAUCAGUGACUAUAUCCAGGGAAUGUCUAAAAAAUAUACUUUGAUGUCCCAAGAACCAAAUAUAACCUUUAUAUAUAUAUACAGGGUGUAACAAAAAUACAGGUCAUAAAUUUAAUCACAUAUCCUGGGACCAAAAAUAGUUUGAUUGGACCUAACUUACCUUAGUACAAAUGUGCACAAAAGAAAAGUUACAGCCCUUUGAAGUUAUAUAUUAAUAGCACCAAGGGCCUUAGAGGCCCAUGGCUUGAAAAGUUUGUUUUUUUCUUCAUUUUCACGUUUCUUUAUGUACUGAGAUCUUCUCUGGCUUGAUAUGUGAUUUUUCUCCAUUCCUUCCUCUUAUUCAUUUUUCUUUUCUGACCCUGUAACACCAUUCUUUCCAAAUCUUUUUCGACCUCUUGCUUCCAUCUAUUUUCCGGUCUUCCUCUUCUCUUUCUUGAAGCUAUAGUGUAGUUUAGUACCCUUUUCGGAGUCCUCGUUUUUGGCAUCCUUUCAAUGUGACCUCGUGAUCUAAGUCUCUGUGCCUUUAUCACUCAUUUGAAGUUACAAAAUGAAAAGUGAUUUUUUCCAAUGUAUCGAAAACAAUAUGCUUUUGUGCAUGUUUCAAUUUAAUUAUUAUUGUAGUACCUACCAUUUAAACAACGUUUUAAAAACUUUUUUGCCUCUUAUUGCUUUUUCGAAAAGUCAAUUUUUAUCGAAAUAUUUUGAAUAUUUGUCAAAUCCACCACAUAUUUGUAUAUGGUUAAGUACGAUUAUGGAGACUUGGUAAUAAUAUGCAAACUUAUUUAUGCUUUACAUUUUUAGGUAUAUUUUGAACCAUAUUAAAAAAGAAGCCAGACUCGAUAAAACGUGCCUUAUCGAAAAAAUACAAAGAGGCAAAAAAGUUUUGAAAACACUCUGUUUAACUAAUGGUACCUCAGUAAUAGUUUAAUUGGAACAUACACAAACAUUUGGGGGGUUUAAAGGAACAAAACCCC
This 2282-nucleotide long non-coding RNA is filed under the name Diabrotica virgifera virgifera (western corn rootworm). RNAcentral describes it as "uncharacterized LOC126888475". Lineage: Eukaryota; Metazoa; Arthropoda; Insecta; Coleoptera; Chrysomelidae. The record is from RNAcentral.